AUCUUGACGGUACCUAAUCAGAAAGCCACGGCUAACUACGUGCCAGCAGCCGCGGUAAUACGUAGGUGGCAAGCGUUGUCCGGAUUUAUUGGGCGUAAAGGGCUCGUAGGUGGUUUGUCGCGUCGUCUGUGAAAUUCCGGGGCUUAACUCCGGGCGUGCAGGCGAUACGGGCAUAACUUGAGUACAGUAGGGGAGACUGGAAUUCCUGGUGUAGCGGUGGAAUGCGCAGAUAUCAGGAGGAACACCGAUGGCGAAGGC
Molecule: ribosomal RNA, 258 nt
Filed under: Heterosigma akashiwo
Lineage: Eukaryota; Raphidophyceae; Chattonellales; Chattonellaceae
Description: partial Bacterial small subunit ribosomal RNA
Rfam family: Bacterial small subunit ribosomal RNA
Source: RNAcentral